This 2041-nucleotide long non-coding RNA is filed under the name Sus scrofa (pig). Its description in RNAcentral is "lncRNA (ENSSSCG00040032761.1)". The record is from RNAcentral. Lineage: Eukaryota; Metazoa; Chordata; Mammalia; Artiodactyla; Suidae.
AGAGUUCAUUUUUAAAAUUUAACUUGUUGGUCUAGCAUUGCAAAUCAUGAGAGGGAAUUUGUCUGAAUAUCUUAACAGUGGAUGGACUGGAUGGAAAAUGACGUAGCUGGGUAACUGAGGAAAUCAUGUGUAAGAGCAAGUAAAGGUAGGAUUAGAUUCUGGAAAUACUGGGAAAGUUAGAGGUGAAAAAGGAGACCUGAAUCUAACAGGUUGAGUAACCAAGAACAGGGAUCACACAGAAAAAAAGGGCAAGGCAGAACAGAAAAGACAUACUCAAAACUUUGGUAAAUCCUACUGACUUUGGAAGGCCCUUAAGUAAAUUGUUUGUUUGUAUCCUUACAUUUGUUUCAGAAACCAACAAUUGGCUUAAAUAGGGGCCACUUAGAGUUUGGGAUACAAAGACUGCUAUGGUUUGGGCACACAAAACAUGAUCAUCAAUACAGUCUUAAAGUUAGUAACUUUAGAUGUAUUACAAAGAAAUGCAAUUUAGCAUAGAAACCUAUGUGGUGAACCAGAGAAUAGCUGGCAAUUAUUGAGUACCUAUUAUGUACCACACAAUUGUGAAAUCACUGUUUCUGGUGGGCAUUUAUUGUACAGUAUAAGUUGCUGUCUGCUGUCCAGAUUUCAAGUUCAAAUGAUCAGCAUAGGUAAAGUCAGUGUACAUGAGUUUGGAUUAUAUCUAUGAUAGCCAGCAUGAGUUAAUGAAAAGGGAAUUAUAUAAACUUCUGAAGUGAAUUUUUGUUAUUGCAAAUAAUUUUAAUGACAUCAAACCACCUACAAACAUGUGUAUGCAAUGUAUACAUACUGAUACUCUUUCUUCAGGAUGCUAGAAACUACAAAAGUUUUUGAGAGGUAAUAUUCUUAAGCUAUAUGUCUAUCUACUAUCUAUGGAGAGGGAGUUGAUUCAUCUGAAUGGAGUUAAAGAAUAAUGAAAGAGCAAUACCAUUACUUAUGUCACUUAUGUGUCUUCAGUAUUCCUUAUGACAACCUUUCUGAUACUUUCUUCAGACAUUUCUAGUGCAUUAGGAAAUACAGUAUAAUAACCAUUUUGUAUAUUUCAAGUGGAUACAUCACUAAUACAAUGUACCGUGAUGUUAGAAAGGUAAUCAAUAUUCAGAUUAUGCAUGACACCUUUCCCCUUCAGGUUUAUUGUCAUUGGUACUCAAUUGUUUUUGUUCUUUUGAUGUCUUGUGGCAGCCUGUCUUUUAAACAGCUGUGUUAUUUGCAUCUUAUCCUCCCUUUAUAUAACUGUCCCUUAGAGAAAUACCUUUAAAAACACAUCCUUUCAAUAAUCUUUCUUGUUCUAGCAAAGAGUUAAUAACAAGACAAUAUUAUGUGGAAGGGGUGAUUUGAGCUGAAAAAGGGUAUAGAGACAAAUGAACAGGAUUCCAGGCCCUUCUGUUUCAAAUAUUCUUCAUAAUAGUCUCGACAGUUGUUAUAAAAUGAAUUGCCAGAGUGUAUAGAAGCCAAAAAUAAAUGAUUGCUCUUUUUCUGUAAUGUCAUAUUGUGCAUACCUCUGUCCUUAUCAUUUAUUUGUGCGAUGAUGAGUUUUAUGAUGUAAAAUUGGGUGCAUCCAUUCAUUGAUAUUCAUCACUCAGAAAGGGUAACAUUUAGAAUUAUACUAUACUGGGAGUUCCCAUUGUGGCUCAAUGGGUUAAGAACCCAACUAAGUAUCCGUGAGGAUGCACAUUCCAUCCCUGGCCUCACUCAGUGGGUUAAGAAUCCGGCAUUGCUGUGAGCUGUAGAAUAGAUCAUAUAUAUGGCUUGGAUCUGCUGUUGCUGUGGCUGUGGUUUAGGCUGGCAGUUGAAGCUCUGAUUCGACCCCCAACCUAGGAACUUACAAUAUGUUGCAGGGGUGGCCAUAACAGCAACACAAACAAACAAAAAGAACUAUACUGUGCCGAACUGCAGAUCCUUAAGGAAAGGCACCAUAUUUUAUUAAUCCUUAAAACUUAGCACGGUACCUGGCAUACUGGAGGAUUCAACACUCUUUUGUAGCUAUCCUAGAAAGAUUACUUUGAUCCUUGCUUACCAGACCAUC